This 72-nucleotide transfer RNA is filed under the name Camelus dromedarius (Arabian camel). It matches the Rfam family "tRNA". From Rfam's summary of the family: Transfer RNA (tRNA) molecules are approximately 80 nucleotides in length. Their secondary structure includes four short double-helical elements and three loops (D, anti-codon, and T loops). Further hydrogen bonds mediate the characteristic L-shaped molecular structure. tRNAs have two regions of fundamental functional importance: the anti-codon, which is responsible for specific mRNA codon recognition, and the 3' end, to which the tRNAs corresponding amino acid is attached (by aminoacyl-tRNA synthetases). tRNAs cope with the degeneracy of the genetic code in two manners: having more than one tRNA (with a specific anti-codon) for a particular amino acid; and 'wobble' base-pairing, i.e. permitting non-standard base-pairing at the 3rd anti-codon position. Lineage: Eukaryota; Metazoa; Chordata; Mammalia; Artiodactyla; Camelidae. RNAcentral also lists the same sequence under 1 other name. The record is from Rfam by way of RNAcentral.
GGGGGUAUAGCUCAGUGGUAGAGUAUGUCCUUAGCAAGAACAAGGUCCUGGGUUCAAUCCCCAGUACUGCCA